This 381-nucleotide ribosomal RNA is filed under the name uncultured bacterium. Its description in RNAcentral is "bacterial SSU rRNA". It matches the Rfam family "Bacterial small subunit ribosomal RNA", at positions 30 to 410 of the family's 1533-position model. The record is from RNAcentral.
GCGAACGCUGGCGGCGUGCUUAACACAUGCAAGUCGAGCGGUAAGGCCCUUUCGGGGGUACACGAGCGGCGAACGGGUGAGUAACACGUGGGUGACCUGCCCUCAGCUCUGGGAUAAGCCUGGGAAAUUGGGUCUAAUACUGGAUAUGACUCCACGGUGCAUGUCGUGGGGUGGAAAGCCUUGUGCGGCUGAGGAUGGGCCCGCGGCCUAUCAGCUUGUUGGUGGGGNGAUGGCCUACCAAGGCGACGACGGGUAGCCGGCCUGAGAGGGCGACCGGCCACACUGGGACUGAGACACGGCCCAGGACUCCUACGGGAGGCAGCAGUGGGGAAUCUUGCGCAAUGGGCGAAAGCCUGACGCAGCGACGCCGCGUGAGGGAUG